RNAcentral lists this ribosomal RNA (253 nucleotides) under uncultured bacterium. RNAcentral describes it as "partial 16S ribosomal RNA". It matches the Rfam family "Bacterial small subunit ribosomal RNA", at positions 524 to 776 of the family's 1533-position model. The record is from RNAcentral.
UACGUAGGGUGCGAGCGUUAAUCUGAAUUACUGGGCGUAAAGCGUGCGCAGGCGGUUUGGUAAGACAGAUGUGAAAUUCCCGGGCUUAACCUGGGAACUGCAUUUGUGACUGCCAGGCUAGAGAGCGGCAGAGGGGAGUGGAAUUCCGCGUGUAGCAGUGAAAUGCGUAGAUAUGCGGAGGAACACCGAUGGCGAAGGCAACUCCCUGGGCCUGCACUGACGCUCAUGCAAGAAAGCGUGGGGAGCAAACAGG